Molecule: transfer RNA, 72 nt
Filed under: Pelodiscus sinensis (Chinese soft-shelled turtle)
Lineage: Eukaryota; Metazoa; Chordata; Testudines; Trionychidae
Rfam family: tRNA
About the family: Transfer RNA (tRNA) molecules are approximately 80 nucleotides in length. Their secondary structure includes four short double-helical elements and three loops (D, anti-codon, and T loops).
Source: Rfam by way of RNAcentral
GCCCCAGUGGCCUAAUGGACAAGGCACUGGCCUCCUAAGCCAGGGUUGUGGGUUCAAGUCCCACCUGGGGUU